Molecule: ribosomal RNA, 793 nt
Filed under: uncultured archaeon
Lineage: Archaea
Description: bacterial SSU rRNA
Rfam family: Archaeal small subunit ribosomal RNA
Source: RNAcentral
ACUGCUCAGUAACACGUGGACAACCUGCCCUUAGGUUGGGUAUAAACCCGGGAAACUGGGUAUAAUACCCGAUAGGUCUCGAUUGCUGGAAUGCAUCGAGAUUUAAAGCUCCGGCGCCUAAGGAUGGGUCUGCGGCCUAUCAGGUAGUAGUGGGUGUAGCGUACCUACUAGCCUACGACGGGUACGGGUUGUGAGAGCAAGAGCCCGGAGAUGGAUUCUGAGACACGAAUCCAGGCCCUACGGGGUGCAGCAGGCGCGAAAACUUUACAAUGCUGGCAACAGCGAUAAGGGAACCUCGAGUGCCAGGUUACAAAUCUGGCUGUCGAGAUGCCUAAAAAGCAUUUCAUAGCAAGGGCCGGGCAAGACCGGUGCCAGCCGCCGCGGUAACACCGGCGGCUCGAGUGGUAACCGUUAUUAUUGGGUCUAAAGGGUCUGUAGCCGGCCGGAUAAGUCUCUUGAGAAAUCUGGCAGCUUAACUGUCAGGCUUUCAGGAGAUACUGUCUGGUUCGAGGCCGGGAGAGGUGAGAGGUACUUCAGGGGUAGGGGUGAAAUCUUGUAAUCCUUGAAGGACCACCAGUGGCGAAGGCGUCUCACCAGAACGGACCUGACGGCAAGGGACGAAAGCUAGGGGCACGAACCGGAUUAGAUACCCGGGUAGUCCUAGCCGUAAACGAUACUCGCUAGGUGUCGGCCACGGUGCGACCGUUGUCGGUGCCGUAGGGAAGCCGUGAAGCGAGCCACCUGGGAAGUACGGCCGCAAGGCUGAAACUUAAAGGAAUUGGCGGGGGAGCAC